UUCCUAGGGUGAGAGAGGGAGCAGAAGUAAAUAGAAAUAGACAGACAAGCUUUAUCAGAUAAGCAAAAAUAAGCCUGGGAUCUCUCCCAGACUGUGACAAAUUUUGAAGAAUUUCAAGCCACUACUUCUAACAUUUACUAUGGGCAGGUCCAGGAGGAGCCCACUAAGGGACAUGAACAUGAAGCAGUCAAAAGAGUGUGGGCAUCAGGAAGAAGCAUCCUGGAUGUGGGAGCCCACAAAGAUUCCAACUUGUGGUUUGUUUCUAUUUUGACUAAAGAAUUCACAAGAACUCAAUGAGAUGAAUGGAGAUGAGGAUGAAGAAACGUGGAAGAAAUAAGUGAGAGGACAUAACAUCACAAAGUCAAGACUUCUUAAGAGGAAAGUGCAAACCCAAGCAUCGCUCACAACACUGAAUGAACAAAAUGAGAUGCUGAUGUGCUAUGAUGAGAACAGACUAAGAGCAAAGAUGCAUUCUGAAGCAUGGGCUCUGUCUGUGUUGAGACAGCAAAAUGUCUUUGAAAAGCAAACAUGUUGCUUUCCUCAAUUCUUUAUUUCCUAAAAUGUGAACAAAAAGACAAAGAGAAGGGUUCUAUUUGGGGGGUUAGAUGGGAGUUGGCUUUAUUUAGAAAAUUUGAGUAUAUUAAUUUUCUGUGUUCACAGAAGGCAUUUGGAAGAAAAUAAAGAAAACUACUGAGUAAA
Peromyscus maniculatus bairdii (prairie deer mouse) is the source of this 699-nucleotide long non-coding RNA. RefSeq lists it as uncharacterized. NCBI's taxonomy places the organism in Eukaryota, Metazoa, Chordata, Mammalia, Rodentia, Cricetidae. The record is from RefSeq and is a predicted model, not a curated record.